RNAcentral lists this ribosomal RNA (802 nucleotides) under uncultured beta proteobacterium. Its description in RNAcentral is "bacterial SSU rRNA". It matches the Rfam family "Bacterial small subunit ribosomal RNA", at positions 1 to 796 of the family's 1533-position model. The record is from RNAcentral. Lineage: Bacteria; Pseudomonadati; Pseudomonadota; Betaproteobacteria.
UCCCCGGGAUUAGUUUGAUCCUGGCUCAGAUUGAACGCUGGCGGCAUGCCUUACACAUGCAAGUCGAACGGUAACGCGGGGCAACCUGGCGACGAGUGGCGAACGGGUGAGUAAUAUAUCGGAACGUGCCCAGUAGUGGGGGAUAGCCCGGCGAAAGCCGGAUUAAUACCGCAUACGAUCUACGGAUGAAAGCGGGGGAUCGCAAGACCUCGCGCGAUUGGAGCGGCCGAUAUCAGAUUAGCUAGUUGGUGGGGUAAAAGCUCACCAAGGCGACGAUCUGUAGCUGGUCUGAGAGGACGACCAGCCACACUGGAACUGAGACACGGUCCAGACUCCUACGGGAGGCAGCAGUGGGGAAUUUUGGACAAUGGGCGCAAGCCUGAUCCAGCAAUGCCGCGUGCAGGAUGAAGGCCUUCGGGUUGUAAACUGCUUUUGUACGGAGCGAAAAGGCUCUCUCUAAUACAGGGAGCUCAUGACGGUACCGUAAGAAUAAGCACCGGCUAACUACGUGCCAGCAGCCGCGGUAAUACGUAGGGUGCGAGCGUUAAUCGGAAUUACUGGGCGUAAAGCGUGCGCAGGCGGUUAUGUAAGACAGAUGUGAAAUCCCCGGGCUCAACCUGGGACCUGCAUUUGUGACUGCAUGGCUGGAGUACGGCAGAAGGGGGAUGGAAAUUCCGCGUGUAGCAGUGAAAUGCGUAGAUAUGCGGAGGAACACCGAUGGCGAAGGCAAUCCCCUGGGCCUGUACUGACGCUCAUGCACGAAAGCGUGGGGAGCAAACAGGAUGAGAUACCCUGGUAGUCC